This 21760-nucleotide long non-coding RNA is filed under the name Citrus x clementina. RNAcentral describes it as "Citrus clementina (C. clementina) long non-coding RNA (CCLE_LNC003263)". The record is from RNAcentral. Lineage: Eukaryota; Viridiplantae; Streptophyta; Magnoliopsida; Sapindales; Rutaceae.
GUGUAAGGAAUAAUCAUACAACAGUUGCCAGAUACAAACAACAUUAUUCUUCUUUUAAGGGGAUGAUAAAGUGCUAGAAUAUUAAGAUUACUUAUCUUUGACAUCCAGUAGAAGAAAUGGAGACUUGUCCAUUUCUUGGACAAUCAUACAACAGUUGCCAGAUACAAACAACAUUAUUCUUCUUUUAAGGGGAUGAUAAAGUGCUAGAAUAUUAAGAUUACUUAUCUUUGACAUCCAGUAGAAGAAAUGGAGACUUGUCCAGAUUCUGGCUUGUCCCCUCAACACUGCAUACUUGAAUAAUGAACUUGAGAGCAUCAGUGUUUGAAGGAAUGAUGAGGUCGGAAAUGUAAAAUGAUUCAACUCGUGCCACCCCAAGAUACUCUUGUGUUGACUCUACCCUUCCAUCCAGACUUCCGACUGCCUGUUUUGCUGGUUUCCCAAGAUAGAUAUUAUACUGGGGGAAUACAGAAUCAUUCCCGUCUUUUAGUUUCCAGAUGAUCUUAGCACUUAGUGUUUUAGUACCCUGAGAAUCUGAAGCAAAUUUAACAUAUUGUGCCUCAACGAGCCAUGAACUAGACAGAGGGAAGUCCGAGUUCUGUCCACUAGUUUUAAUAGAAAUAUCCCCAAGGAUUGCAAAAUAUUCUGCCGGAGUGUGAACUGAUGCAUUAUCUUGAACAUUUGAUGCGGACUCUAGAGUCCGCCUGCUGUUUUCAGGCUCUGGCCUGUAGCAUACAGCACUGAUUCCUGUUAUUGUGUAUCCACCCAUUAUAAUUCUAGCUUCCCGUGUGGCCCAUUCUGUGGUAGUUUCUAGCAUUUUAACUUGGCGUGGAACAAUCAAUUCACUGAAUUUGGUUGAAGAUUGGUCAAUUCUACGGGAUGCAAGAAGUACUGACUUUCUUUCUUUUCUGGCCGAAGAGAACUCGAGAAGGAGGCCAAGUAGAGAAGUUUCUUCUGAUUUUACCUGCAAUGGUGGUAAUUCUCACAGUUAGUCUAGAUGGAAGUAGAAUUACACUGUGGAUUAUACUAAGGUAAUUGGUGGGAAAAAGAAAAAGAAACUCAAAGUUCUUGCAUGGAUCCUAAUGCCUGCUUGUGUACAGAAUGUUCUAAGUUUCUAGUUUCAGAAUGCAGGCAUUGAAUCAAUCUCAUUUGCACGCAUGUUCUCAUCAAAUGGCCAGGUGAACGUAAGACAUCAACAUAAAACUUAAGUCUAGUAUUAAAGCUGGUAAUAAUCAUUUGAAAUUGUGCUUUUCCUUCUUGAUCUAUAAAGAAAUAGCUUACAGAAUAUGUGAUAUAAACAGGCAAAUUCCCCAACAGAAGCUCUGCCUGAAAAAGCCUUGCAAUGAAACUGGCAUUCUCUUCAAGAGUUCCUUUAAACGUUACAUUCCCCCCUCCACUAUAUGAUGCUUCCUUGAAACUAUAAUUGCAAAUAAAUGAUUAGGUGAGGCAGAGCUUUGAUGCACAAUAUAGAUCAAUGGGUAAACUUCAAUUAAUCCCCUACUUAGAAUGACAAUCUUUAAUCUACCCCCUUUUGCUGUUAAGAAGACAAAAAAAUUCCUCAAGAAGCCCUCCAUUUACCCUCAUUUUCUGAACGAAAAUUGGGGUAAAUUGGGGUUUCACACUUUUGAGGGGUAAAUUGAAGAUGGUUAUUUUAUUUAGGGAUGAAUUGAAGUUUACCCUAAACAAAUUAAUGAAAAAUAGAGAUUGUGAACGAGGAAUGCACUGUUGAGGUAAUGUAUGACAGCUUAAGCAACUAACAGCAAAUCCCACCAAAACAUGGAGAUACUGAUGUAUUCUAAUUCCAUGCUUAGAUCUAAUUUUACUUUGGAUGCUUUGCUCUUGAGUUUUGAUGGCAGGAAAAAUAGAGCUGUGCAAGAGGUUGAGCAGACCAUUUUUCAUCCUUUGGGACAACAUACUUUCUUAUUCUCAUGAUAAGACCUAUAAUCUGAUGUAUCACAGAAAGAUCAAAAUAUAUCAAAUCAGAUUACAGUACUUAAUGGCUUAGACAACUUCCCAUUACCCACAUAAGAAAAUGUAUAUCAUGUGGCAUACCAUCCAUGGAAAUGGAAACUGUAAAUCAGUUGAGAUUUUACAAAUAUUAGGAGAAAUAAACGAUCUUUAAAACUUACUCAACAAGGACUUGAAUAGUAUCUGGAUUAGGGUCAUCUUUAAACUCAAGCAUAGGCUGCCACAAGUAUAGGGGAAAGUUAAAGCGGAUAAAGAGUUUGAUGGCUAGAGCAACAACAGGUCAUGUUUACGUAGAACAUUUUCAUUUCUGGAGUAGUAUGACUAUUAUUAUUGUCAAUAUGACCACAGUUUUAAACUACAAAAAGUAAGAACAAAAGAAACACAGGUCUAAUCAGUGCUUACCUGAAAGCCUUGGGAAGAAAUGUUAUUCCACGGAGUGUCUAACAUUUGCUCCCCCUCAAGAGAAAUAUGUAAACCAUGACCCUGAACAAUGUUGUGAUGGUCAGUAUUCUAUGAACUGGCAUCUUAUGAGCAGCAAUUGACUGGUGCCCAGCACUAAGGUUUUAAAUACAAGAACAGAGUAUGAAAUUUAACAUAGUUGCUACCUGAUCAAAAUUUGAGUAGAAUGGUAAUACUUUGGGGUAAUUUUGUAGAAUUCCCCAUGACUUUUCAACAAGGGACCACCAACUGCAGAAACGAACGUAUAUGAAAAUGAAGCUUACCAAACCAUUGUAUAGAUAUUAGAGGAAACUAUCUCAACAAUGAAAGUAAGAGUUACACUGCUAUAGAUGAGCAGCAUUGGAAAGAUCUUCAAAUAAUUGAAGUAGUAAAACAGAACAUAAAUCAUAGUCCGGGACAGGUCAGGUAAGAGGAACCCAAGUAUCAUUGAAAGAAUUCAGCAAAUUUUGAAAAUUUGUGUGGCUUUAACACUAAAAGAUAUGAAAAUCUGUUGCUAUGAGGAAAAAGAGGAAAGUUUUGAAGACGAGAAUAAGUUCAGAAGUGAAUAGUGACAUUUUUCAGCUAUUUAUGCUCCUAAGAAGAGGGUCCAUAUGGCGUCCCAGAUGAGUGCUGUUCCCACCUUUGUGAAAUACAGUAAACAGGGUAUACUGAUAGUAGCAAAAAUACACAGCAGCUGUGUGUGUAUGUGCGCAGAACUUCCACAUUCAUGGAAUUUCACAAAGGAUAGGAGGAUUACUGAUUUUGAGCAGUCUGAAAGUCAGGUGGCUGCUUAGUCUCAUAGAUCCAUCCAGGAGCAAAUAUGGCAGCUGACACAUCAUCCUUCUUUAUCACAUCCAGAGCGACAUUUGUCUGAUUUACAAAGAAUAUAGUUACGAAAGAAAACUUUCCACACUUCAAAAAAUUCAAACUACCAGAACUUGUACAUAACUCUGUUUUACAUAAUAAUAUCUGGCAUCAUGAUGUGAAUAUACUUUAAAACAUGUCUAGUAAGUAAAGACUCAAAAGUACAUAUUACAUGGGAGUUGAAGAUAAUUUCGCAACCAAUAAAUGAAAUACGUCGAAGUAUGCUACUUCAACAAGAAAAACAAUCAAACAGGUAAUCUUAAUUUGGUUUGACAGAAAGAUGAGCUAAUUUAUCUUGCUUACCGAACUAGUAUGUCACCACAAGUGGGUAGAAGAGACUUUUGAAAAAAAAAAAAAAAAAAAAUUCAUAGAAGCGACUUAGAAGAUGGAAAAAUUCAAACUUCUCCUAAUAGGGUCCACAUUGAAUGAAAUCAAUUGGAAGAUUAGAUAUAAUAUAAUAUAGAAUUAAAACGUAGACUGUAAGAAACUUUUAAGAUGAAGAUUCACAAAUCUCAUAAAGUUAACAGGUCACAUACAUUCCAUUUUCCACCUCCAAAAGUGUUCCUUCCAAAUACAUCUAUUCCCAUGUAGACAUCAAACUUCCUAUCACCUGCAACAGCUGCUGAAAGCUUUGGAUAGUCUUCCUACGAGGCAACCAAGAAUUAUUGAAUACAAGAAUCCACCAUUAAGUUCCAUACAAGGGGCAAAGAUAAGGGCUUACCUUCCAUGUAUAGUUUACAAAUAUGCCGUCACAUAUAUCAAAGAAAGGUUUAUUUUUUUCAUUCAGUUGGUCUUGCCAGUCAAGUUUCCCAUCAAUUGUAACACUGUCAUACCUGCAAAAACAAUAUUAAUCGAUAAAAUAUAAAUUCAAGACAAAUUACUACAGCACAAAAUUCAAGAGAACGUAGCAUAUCCUAAUGGUCACACUCACCAGAUAGCCAAAGAUCCAGGCACUGAGGAGUGCAUAGUUUGAGUUAAAUGGCUGACAAAUUCUUUCAAGUUAGGGAUUUGAUCUACAUCCAGUUCAACCUCCAUAUUAAUCUGCAAGUAACAGUUCCCAUAUCAACAACUGAAAGGGAGUGCACAGACGACACUCUAUGUAGCACAUAAAACUGAAAAAAGCUAGAAGAAAAUCAAAAAGUCAGAGAUUUAAUAAAACCUAUACCAGCCACCCAUCAAAGCCCAAAGCAACCGCAAGCUAUGCCAAGCGCUCAGCAUAAGUAUGAGCAGACUCCUUUGUAGAUAGCAAUUCAGUGGCAAUAACUUUUCCUUCAUCCCCUUCUGUGAUGAAAGUCCCUAAAACCUAUUAUUCCAUGAGCACAAGAGAAAUAUCAUCAUAUACAAUUAAAAUUCCUCAAGUCAUUCACUUAUCACUCUCAUGGAUUGAGAAUAAAGUACACCAUCAAUAUUCAAAAUGUCAAGCUACCAAAGGAAUAAAAAAUAAAAGGCAAAUCAUGGUCUAUAAUAAUAAUUAAAAAAAAAAACUCCCAAUUGGAUAGCCUUGCACCACCAUGUCGUAAUCAUAUCAUGGAUACCAUCUAGACAUUGUGAGCUUACACUGCACCAACUGUAAAGCAUAGUACUUGCCCUCGGAAAAAAUUUCUGCUCAGUCUCUAUAAUUAUUGUUAUAACAGCUAUGGUCAUUUCCCAUAAUUGAUCAAUCUUUCAUUCAAGAAUUUAACCCCCCACCCCCUACUCACACACAAACUCACAGAAAAAAAGGAAAAUCGUCUUGAUGAGUACAUUGUCGUUGAACAUAUUAUAUUAAAAGAUCAUUAAUAAAGUUGAAUAAAGAAAAAGCAAACACUACAAAGAGUAAAAGCUUAUAUGAGGUUUUUAUCCACAAUCAAUCAUUUCCUCCCUUAAACUCCAUACACUACAAACAGUGAAAGCAAACACAAAAUUAAAACCAAGAAGCAAAGAAAACAAAAGCAAAACAUAAAAGGCAUGUCUUUUAAUUUUCAACUAACUAAGCACUUAUUGUUCAAGAACGAAAUAUAAAUUAAAAAAAAAAGAAAAAGAAAAAGAAAUUGCACUACCUUAACGCCAUGUCUGUGAGCAGUGUUAGUCCAACAAGGAGGAGGCAAAGUGACCAAACUAUGAGAAAAAUAAACAAAAACAUCCAUCAAAUGCCAAUGCCAAAUAGCGUAGGCGUCGGCAUUGGUCCCACCUUGGACCCACUUAUCAUCCACGUAGCCACCUUGCAUGUCAUGGCAAACCAAAAUCCUCGGCCUGGCAGGUAGAGUUGGAGACGCACCGUUCAGAGGAUGAAGAGGAACAGUCGACUUAUUAAAAGGGUAGUGAAAGGAGUCAAAGUAAGCGCGAGAGUGAAGAUCUUGGAGGGUUUUAAUGGGGUAAGAGAUGGGAAUCGACGGCUGCAAUGGGUCGAACGGAGGAGGAUCGACGGCUGAGGAGUCGUCGUUGGAAUUGGACAUGGUGAUGAAGAGAACGAGGGAGUGGAGAGUUUUUUUAAGUGAGAGGAGGGAGUUGCGGAGAGUUUUUAGAGUUUGACGAUUGAUGUAAGUCCGAAGAAGAUGAUGAAGUAUUAUUAUUAUUAAGAUACAUGGGACGACGACGAAGACGAAGACGAAGGUCAAGUCUUGACAGUGAGUUUGGAACAUGGCAGGAAGCUUCGCUUUUGCUGUGCCUUUAAAUGCUUUUGUUGACUUCGUUCUUGGUCUUCGUCAUCGCUUACAGUCAGUCAGUCAGUCAGUCGACUGUACAUCAACAACUAUUCUACAAGUGCUGGUGAAUAUAACAUUGAAGCUUGAGACUACUCAGACACCUUCACCAUUAUAGAAGCAUAUUUCUUUCAUCCAUCUCUCUGUUACUAUUCAGUUCCGUAAAUUUUACCAACAAUCACAAGGAAGAGCAAGUAAGCUAAGAUAUUUCUGGAAAUUCGGAUCCAAUCAAUUUCAUUUGUACCGGUGUUUAUCACAUGCUUUAAAGUCAUGGUUACUUCAUAGCGAAUGGCAUAAUUUAUUCAACUGAAUAUAACAAGAUCAAAUACAGAAUUACUGAUUAUUAAGAAAUGCACAGGGAACUCCAGUGAGAGACAGUUCUUCUAAUCUACAAAAUUAUUUAAAUAUUUUUGUAUUAAGUGCCAAUGGGGCAAGAAAUUUCCCUGAGGUGUGACAGAACACCAAUAAUGCAUAUCAUUAGAGGAGGGCAAAACAAGCUUUACAUGGGUUGGGGCACAACCAGACGGCAGGUUAAGAUUUCUUCUCAUUGAGGGCUGACAACACCCAAUCAACAUCAAAACUUGCAGAAUCAUGACCUGCAUGAUGCACUUAUAGCAACUCUUCUGUCCCCGUCAUCUUUGCAAAUUCACUUUCAUCUAUACUACCCUUUUUUAGCUUUUUUAAUAGGCGGUAAUCCCGGGCCAGCUCAUCUUCGUCUUCGAUUGCCUGGGUAGCACGUCUCUGUUUUGCUGUUUUCUUCCUCAUCACAGUAGUUGCAGCAUCUGAGGCCUUGUUUGGUUUCUGUCGUUUUGGUUCUUUCUGCUGUGCCUCUUUCUUUGCUUGCAAAUUCUUCUUCCUUUGUUUCUCACGUGAUUUAUCCCUGAUUUAAUAUAGUUAUCAGCUAUGGUCACAGGCGUACACAGAUCUUAAAAAUAAAAAAAUAAAAAUUAAUUCCAUCAAUGCUGCAUAUGUGAAAAAGCAUAAAUGAUAAGAGGAAUGUGAUGUUGGAUGAUUCUUAUACAAAAAUCAUAAGGUUUCCCAUCAUUUUCCUUUCAAUACUGAAAAAAGAGGCAAAAGAAAUUCAGCUAAUUUUGCUGCAAGUUUGCCUUGGAAACCAAAAAGGUUUUGAACAAUGGUCUGUCUGAACUUGGUUGAAAAAAUAAAUUUAUCUUUUAAAAAUAUUGAAAGAAGUCAAUAUCUUGCUAAAUGAAAAAGAAGAAGACUGGUUGUGAAGUGAAAGCAUUUAAGAAAUUCACAAAUCGAAUAUGGGGUUUCUUCCUCUAUGAUGACUUCCAUGUCAAUUGUCAAUGCAAAUUAUUAGGCUCUUUGAUUCUAUUUAAUCAACAAAUUUUGAUAACACAUUGUUAGUUCUUACUUGUACUUGAUGUCCUCCAACUUGAUGUCUUUAACUGGGACGAAACCCUUGGUGGAAAGAGAAUGGAUCUUUACCUCAGACAUUGAAGGAAGUUGUAGUAAGCCAUAACCCAUAGCCAAUUUCCCGACCUCAAGUUCUUUCCACCUAUAUAAUAUGAUGGAUAAAAAACAUUAUAACGAAACAAUAAAAAAUGCAGAGAGAAAUUAUGGAUAGAAGGCAGUAGUGACCUGAAGAUAUACGAGCAGUGAUGCUCUUUAUAUGCACGUAUAUAAGAAACAAAUGCUCUGAGACCUUUCUCCAUGACAUCACGGUCUUUUUUUGCUGCAGAUCGAAUCUGAAACAAGUUUUGAUACUAUGUUGGAUCAACCAUUUUCUUCUCACUACACACCGGAAUAUAUAGAACAAAUUUCCAAAACCAAAAACAAUGGAAGAGAAUAAGAUAGAAAUCAUGAUCACCUCAGGAACUACAUCAGAAGCAUCAUCAGAGCAUUUCCUCUCUUGAAGAGGAACCCUUCUUAUCCGCAGGAAUUCUACAUAAGCUUCCUCCUGAACAAGUAUAAUUAAAUUAAUUUCCCUAGAAAUUUUUCUUUAACAAGAAUAGUACAUGAUAAGGGAGUCAGUAUGCGGGUGAAAGACACCUUGGGUGAUAGGAAAACAAUGGAGCGCCCUUGUCUACCCAACCUAGCAGUUCGACCAACUCUGUGAACGAAAACAUUUGGAUCUUGAGGGGGAUCAUACUGCAAGAUAACAAACACAUUAACCACCACACAUAAAGUAACACGGAUAAUGACUGGUCUACUUUUCUGCAAUUUACAAAGUCACCUGCACUAUACAAUCAACACCAGGAAUGUCAAGUCCACGUGCAGCAACAUCCGUACAUAGAAGAAUGCCACUUGAAAGAGAUGUAAAUGAAGCUAAUGCUUUCUCCCUAGCAGUCUAUUUGUAAUCAAAAUCAAUCAAAAUGAGUAAUAAUAUACACCAGCCGACUUCUGAAAUUGUAAUAUAAGAUUCUGAGGAUAUUUCAAUAACUAACAUCCUACCUGCUUCAUCUUUCCAUGAAGAGGAAUCAACGAGAGACUCUUCAAAACAGCCAGACGUGGAAGAACAACUCCCCAGUAGUCAACACAAGCACAAGUCAUGAAAUAUCUGAAGACAUACAUUAAUCCUAUUAUGAAAUUAUGAUUAAUCAUAGGCCAUUAACUACAAAAAGAUAGCAUCAUCCAUCCUCUGAGAAAUUUCCAUGCUGAACUUACAUUAUAAUCUUUUUAGACUUGUUCUUUAUAAGCAGAUCAACAAGUUGUGAUGGUUUCUCAUCUGGUUCACAUUCCAAAUACUGCAGAAUCAGAGGAGAAAUUAAUUCAGAAUAAAUGCAGAACUUACAAAGACUAUUAGUGUUCAAAUCAUAACAAAGGGUUACUAUUUUUGUCAAAUUAGGGGGGGGAAAUCCAAUUAGUCUGAAAUGACAUCAAACAUGAAUAUUUAGCACAACCCAGAGUUUGCUUUAUGGCUUUGAAGAAGAGGAUAAAAAAUUAAUUCAAGUGACUUCCAGAUUCAAUAAAUGUCUUCCAGGAUCUAAUAUGUCAAAUUAAAAUUCCAAAAAUCAUUAUUUGAGUUUAUUUGGCUUCAAUUCUGUUUAACCACAUGCAACGUAAAUUGCAACCAAAAUAUAUUCACACACAACACCUCAAGAUGAAGGCCUAAAGGUGUUUUCGAAGAGGCUAGUUGCUGCGAUGAUGCCGAUACAUGAUGUGAUUUUGAUUCUGCUCGCACUUCAACCCUCACAGGAUUCCUCAGCCCUGCUUUGGAUAGCUCUUCAACUGCCUCAGUUUGAGUAGCUGAAAAAAGGCCAGUUCUACGAAGUUUAGGCAGGCGAGAUAUGAUGUAACUGAUCUGUUUCUGGAAUCCCAUAUCCAAGAGCCUGUCAGCCUCAUCUAGAACCAAAAUCUGCACAACCAGCAAGAUGAAGCUGUAAGGUCACCAAAGUACAGGAUCCAAGUAUUAUCUUUGUGAAAAAUUGUUCAAAAAUUACAUUCUAAAUUAGUGUAAUCUUCAGUCAUAAUCAUUAAACAUCUGUCAAUUGUCUAGUUAAGUCUUCAUUAAACAAAUCCAGAGGCUACUGAUCCUUGCACUCAUUGUGCAUUGUCAACUGACAAACUAUAAAUUCAGCAACAUGGAUUAAAAGUCCUCUAGAUAAUCACUAACAACAAAAACAAGGUGUGAAUUGAAGCCAAGAUUUCCAUAAAAUAGAAAAGACAAUGAAGAUCAUCAAUCUCUAUCCAAACCAAGAUUAGAAAUUAAUACAUUAUAGAGAAUCAAACAUCCAAGCAACUACCUCAAGGUUCCGAAAAUCCAAGACAUCCAUACGUUCCAUUAUAUCAUAUAGCCUCCCAGGUGUCCCGAUCAACAAAUUUGCUCCUUCUUCCUCUAUUUUCUUCACAUCUGCUUUCACCUCCACACCUCCCACAAGAAGCACAGACUUAACAUCCGGUAAAGUUGAGAUGAACGGCUGUGCAACAUGGUAUAUUUGCGAUGAUAGCUCCCUUGUUGGUGAGAUAAUCAUCCCCAUUAUCUGCUCUCAAUUCAAAAACUAAUUUCUCAACAAAGUAAUCACUAAAAGCAAAUGCAAUUCACUCGAUACAUAAUAAAAUUGCCAGUGCAAUGCAAUCAAUUUAUUUAGAAUCAACUACAACUAGAAGUAAAAACUAUUCAAGUACUUAGAAGAACUAUUUGACUAUUUUCUAGUGCGGUGCUAAGAGAAGCAAAAGUGCUCACGCAAAGUGCUUUUCAAAGAAUCAGUAAGAGUUUUUGUAGAAAAUUUAACUGAAAAAUAAAUCAUAUGCAUUUUUUGGGUAAAAAGUAAAAAAAAAAAAAAAGCUAUUUGAGCUCGUUGAGUUCAUUUAAAUAUAAAUUUCUAUGUUUUAAUUUAAUUUUCCUGAAGCUUCUAGGCAGCCAAACACAAAUGAGAAAAUGUUUUGGACCUGGUGGGGUUUCCGAGCAGAAGAGGCACGGCGGAGGAUCUCCACUAGAGGGACGACAAAAGCUAGGGUUUUGCCAGAGCCGGUGGCGGCGUCCACGGCUACGUCCUUGUAGCUGCAUAACAAAGGGAUUGUGGCAGCUUGAACAGGCGUGCAAAACUCAAAGCCGGCUUCAGCUAAGGCUUCGAGAACUGGCUCGGAAAGCGCCGGCUUCAAAUCGGAAAAGCGAGUUUCUGUUAACGCUUUGUUCGGGUUGGACUCCAUUCUAACGGUUCAAGGCAAGCGCGGAUUCGGAGUCAGAUAGCAUCCAUUGAUACCUACUGAAAACAUAUCAAAUCAGUCCCUUAAUUUUAUAUUUAUUUCUCGAUGAAAAACAAAGGCUUCGGUAGACAGUGGAGUUGUUCUACUGUAGAGAACUGACGGUGAUCCUUACGUUAUAGUAAUAAGUGUAGAUUUAAUAUUUAUUUUUAUGAUCGUACGGUUAUCAACAAUAUUUUACCAUUGAGUAGAUAAUUUUUUAUGAUUGAGCGGUGAAAAUUAUGAGCAUGACCCUAUUAUUGAAUAAUGUAGUAUAACUACUAUAAAUUAACAUUCUUUGAACCAUAAAAAAUCUAUUAAUUUAAUAAAUAUUAGUACAUCGAGUACAUCGAGUAAAGUUGUAUGAUACAUUUUAAUUAAAUCUUGUUUAAAUGUAUCAAUCACUUAAUAAUUCAUUGAUUAGAUUGUACAACUAGAUUACAAUUAUAUAGUAACACAUUAGAAGAGCACUUGGAGGAAAUAUAUUAAGUUGACCUCUCUCUUAUUCCUCUUCACAUAUUACAUUAGUAUAAUAACAGAAAUUAAUUUCAAGCACGAAACAUUGAAAAUUUAUUUAUCAAAAACCUCAUAGACAUAUGAUAUAUAUUUAGUUUCAAUUCAGGUAAUUAUUAAUAUACCUAUUAAUUGGGUCGGUAGAAAAACAAGAAUGUUUUGAAAGUUUUUUAUUUAAUAACUUCUCAAAUGAUUAAGUUAUCAUGUUGGUCCCAAGUUGGGAGAAAAAAGUAAUUAUUUAAUCAAGAUUAUGAAUUUAUCGAGUAUUAAUUUAAUGAAGUUCUGUUGUAUAGUCAAUUUUUUUAUUUUUCUAUUUUUUACUAAUUUUAUAGUCAAUGGACAAAAGUAGCCAUCAUUAGAACCCCCUUUGGGAUUAUAGUUAAAAUGCUAUAAAUAAUUUAUUUCAUAAGUUUUGGUAAAAAUGGUGUUUGAUAAAUUUUUUAAAAUGUUAUUUAUUUUAUAAGUUUCUACAUUUUUGCAGCAGACUUUUAAAGUUUUUUAUAAACAACUUAUUAAAUAGAGUACCACACUUUUUUAAUUUUUUAUUGUAAUUUUAAUAUUUUAACAAAAGGAUAAGUAUAUCUUACUUUUUCACAAACUCUUAUAUGCUUAUAUACAAACAAAAGAAAAUUUACACUUAUGUUUAUUUAGGCCAUUAUAUAAUAAAAUAGUACUUUGAUAAUAAAUUUACCAAAGACACAUACUUUUUUUUUAAAAAAACUGAAAGUAAUUACAAUAACACAAUUUACUAAACACUGAGUUAUUUUUGUUAACAUAUAUGUUUUCAUAAUGUUGAUUUUGAUGAUAACAAACAAGAUUAAGAAUGAUAUAUUUUUUAAGCUCAAAUUAUUUUUGUGAAAUCAUUCUUUAAAUACAUGAAAUGUUUGUCAUCAUAAAAAAGGGGGAGAUUGUUAACAUAUAUGUUUCCAUAAUAUUGAUUUUGAUGAUAACAAACAAGAUUAAGAAUGAUUAAUCUUUUAAGCUCAAAUUAGUUUUUAUACAUUUUAAAUAAAUCAUUAUUUUUACAUUAUAAAGGUUUUAUAUUUAAUGGAAAAAUGAUUUUAUGAAAUUGAUUGUUUUUAGUUUUUUAAAUAAAUCAUUAUUUUCACAUUAUAAAUAUUUCAUAUUUAAUGGAAAAAUGAUUUUAUGAAAUUGGUUGUUUUUCAAAGUUUAUGGUUUAAUUGAAAGAAUUUUGAAUACUUUGAAAUAAACAAGUAUUGCUUGAAAUUUUGGUAAAUGACUUAUUUGAAAAGUGUCAUAGCAUCUUUGGCAUAUCAUAAUUUCAAAAAGUUUUGGGAUUAACAAAAUAUUAUUUAGAAAUUCUGAAAUUGGACUUAUUUGUAAAGUUUCAUAACGUUUUGGGCCGUAGUAUAGUUUUGUAAAGUUUUGAGGUCAAACUAUAAUUUCAAAAAAUAAUGCACUGUGAGUAACGGCUAGUUUUUGAGUUCAAACUAUAUAAACUCAAAACCAAUUCAUUUUUGCAAAUCCAAGCAAGCAAGAACAAGUGCACACAACAUAUAUUGAGCUUCAACUUCUUGAAUCAUCAUUCAUUAAAUCAUCUUUGUUCUUCAAUUUGUAUAUCCACUCUUAAAGAGAGAUUCAUUGUUGUGUUUUUCAUUUCUCAUCAAAUUGUGAGAGUACAAGUGUGAAAAACACUUGGGGUGAAGAGAUUGAAGAUAUAAUCUCUUGUUGUAAAAGUUCAUUGACACCUUGAAGUCAAUUGUAAACGUUUGAAGUCUUAGAAAGGCUUGGAUAGUGGAAUCCUCAAGUUUGGAUCGCUUGGAGGCGUGGACAUAGGCGGGGAUUGCCGAACCACGUAAAAAUUCAUGUGUUUGUUUCUCUUCUCCUUUACUCUUUAAUUAUUGUGCUUUUGUUGAACUUAUUGCUUUCAAUUUUUAUUAAGACAUUAGAUUACUUGUUGUGUGAAUUUGCUAGGAUAAUUUUUAAAUUUCCAAUUCACCCCCCCUCUUGGGUUGCAAACUUGUAUUUUGAAUUUUUUCAACUAGCAACUUAUUUCAACCGCACAACAUAAAACAUCUUAUUCCAUCCACUACAAGAAUUCUAAACUAGUCCUGAGUCUAUUGCUUAGUCAUUUGUGUACACUAUUUGAAAUGAAGUUGUGGGUUUGAGUUUUCAUGUAUUUAUGGUUUUUUCGAAAUCCACACAAUAAAAACUAAUGUGGGUAAGCAAAUAAGAAGUGUAGGCCAACAACCUCAUUAGGAAAGCACUGGCCAUGGUAAUGGUGUUUUAAGGUUUUAGGAUUUUAUGGGUGGGUAGAGAAUGGUGCAUUUUAGAAAGUGAGUGUCCAUAGUAUUGAUAUUUUAUUAAAUAAGAAUAUAAUUUACUUAUUUAUAUUAAAUGUGUGUUUUUAAAAUUUUUCCAAAUGAACUACCAAACAGUUUCUUAAUCUUAGACCAAUGACCAGCACUCACUAACGUAAACUCCUGAGACCGGGAAUUUGGUCUUCUUAUGAGGACUUGGUUAACAGAGCACUGCAAAUUAUGCAUUUAAUUAAUAAAAUAUUAAUGGGCAGGGAUCUAAAUGAUAAUAUCCCCAUAAUAAACGAAAACCAUUCAUAAAUAGUAAAAAGGAUUAAACAACGUCGUUUAAAAGCCCUAUAAAUUGUACAAAGACAAGCGGCUGCAAAACCCUUUAGCUUUUCUUCUCUUGAACCUCUCAUCACACUAAGCAGUAGCCGACAUAGACAUCGAGGAGAGAAGACGGCUCGUAUCUGGUAACUUAACAGCCCUUCUCUUCGUCAUUCAUUUAACUUUCUGUCGAUGCAAAAUGUAUAAACCCUACUAACCUUGAAUAGUACUUUUUUUUUUCUUUUUAAUAGAAGAAGUCGUCAUAUGUAUUAGAUUGAAAACGAGUUCUAUUUAUUUAUUUAUUUUUGUUAGGCCGAACCUGUGAUUGCUUGACUGAUUGAUGUCCGUUAAUUGGUUUUCACUGUGUUAAUUUGAUAGUAUGUUUUUGAUUCUUCAUGAAUAAAAUUAUAAAUUUUGUGCGUGAAUUCUGUAUACAACUAUUAUUUGUGUGCUCGAAUUCAAUAUUACAUUAACAGAGAUGUAUUGAACAAAUAUGAUGUUCUGCCUGAUUCCCAAAUUAUUAUGAUUAUGAUGAUGACAACGAUGAUGAUGAUGAUGAUGAUGACAACGAUGAUGAUGAUCAUGAUGAUGAUGAUGAUGAUGAUCAUGAUGACGACGACGAUGAUGAUGAUGACGACGACGAUGAUGAUAACGACGAUGACGAUGAUGAUGACGAUGACGAUGAUGAUGAUGAUGAUGAUGAUGAUGAUGAUGACGAUGAUGAUGAUGACCAUGAUGACGACGAUGAUGACGAUGAUGAUGAUCCAUAGAACCCAAAUUAGCUCAACCAUCAUGGAAGGCCAAUCUAUCACUAGACCUCCAUUUUUCGACGGAAAUGAUUAUCCUUAUUGGAAAAUUAGGGACUGGUCGUUGAAACAAGACAUCUGUGCUUUAGCAGCAAACUAAAGUCGCAAAGGGGCAGCUGAUGUAAAUAGCUGGUGAUGCGAAGGGUAGAUCAGGGAUGAAACUUUAAUUGGAGUUUGGUGAUGGACGGAUGUGAUUGGUGAUGAGUCAGGAUUUUGUCUGUGGGACAGGUUUUGAAUUGCGAAAUUUGAUGCGUUGGAGCACGUGUGAGAGUUGUCACUCGCUCCUUCUGCACUUCUUGCUUUUACUAAUUGUGGCUUGAUUAUGGCUUAAUGGGUACUUCCAUAAUUGCUUACCCAAUCUUCAAUUUUACAGCGAAGGUGUGUGUGUAUAUAUACAUAUAUAAAUAUAUCUCUAAAGGCAAGUCAAAAAAAGGGAAAAAUGCAAAAUUGAGUUACUAAUAAAUAUUCGUAAUGCGCUUUUAAAUAUGCUCAGAUUUUUUUUAAUCUUUUUAUCGGAUAAAUCUAUAGAAAUUUCCCCCCUUAAGAUGAAGUCACAACGACUAUCAAAUAAUCCGCACACCCACCCACCCCUGUUAUGGCUUAAUUUGACUCCUAGCUUCAAUUAACUAAACACGGUUCAAUUAAAAAAAAAAUUGAAAAAACAAAUAUAAAUGUUUGUAGGGUCCAACUAUGAUAUCUAUUUGUAUCAUAUGUUACACUGCUAAAUGAUUAGAAAAUCAAAUAAAAUAGAUAAAAUCUGAUUAUCUAAUAAUGCCUUCACAACCUUAACUUUAAUGCAGAAUUUAAAUAAUUUUAGAGUAAUGAUAUAGUCAAAAACUCUUGUACAAACUUAUUUUGUAUAAAUUGAUGUGCCAUAAUAAAAUUGGUUAAAAUAAAUAUCUCUUGCCCCACAUAAUUUAUUUAUAUUAUUUUAUGUUUUCAUUCAACCAAUGAAUUGAUGCCACAUCAUUUUGUAUAAAAUAAAUUUGUAUAAGAGUUUGUAGUUGUAUCAUCAAUCAUAAUUUUAACAUUUUUUCAAAGUAAAAAUGUGUUAGAUCAAGACUUUUUGCCGACAAUCUUCAACUUAAGAGGAAGAUAUUUUGCAACAAAGGUUUUUCUAUUCUGUAACUCAUUGGCACAUCAACCUUUAUUUAUGCUCUUGUGCUUCUUCUUCUUCUUCUUCUUACGACAUUUGUAUGUUAUGUAUGUUAUGUAUAAUAUACAUCACUAAGAAGACAAGUCGGACAAGUGGGAAGAAGAAUGGAAUAAAGAAGCGCAAUGAUCUAACUAGAUAAAGAAAUUUCAUCCAUUCAUUAAUCUUACAACAGUUGUAUGUUAUGUAUAAUAGUCCUCAUCGACUUUUCACUACGAUCUUAUUACCAUGUGAUAAAUUUGUAUCGAAUGUAAGAUACAACUAUUCGAGGGUAGCACCUCUUCAUUCCAUACAAUUAUAUCAUAAAAAAAAACUUUAAAAAUAACAGUUGUAUAAAUGUUAUAACAGUUACACAUUUGAUUUUUUUUUUUACUCAAUAUCAUCAUCGUGGAUCUUAUUAAAUUACAUAUGAUAUAACUUGUAGUAACCAAUAAAUAAUUUUUUUAUCUAGCUCAAUUGUAGUUAGCCAAAUAACUAAUGCGUUAUGGGAAACAACUCAUAGGUUGAUCGUUGAUGUAAGUUACGUUUGUUGUAACUUAGUUGUUUCCCAUUAUUGUACCUUUCAAUAUAUAUAUAUAUAUAUAUAUAUAUAUAUAUAUAUAUAUAUAUAUAUAUAUAUAUAUAUAAUCAAAUAAAAAUAUUUUCUUUUUAACAGAGCAAAUAUGCUACUAAUAAAUAAAAAAAUACAAAAUUUUAACACAUUAACAAAUAAAAAGAUGUAAUACAGUUAAUGUAAUAAUGCAAAUCAAUGCGUUAAACGCAUUGAAUGUCAAAAGUUUGACAAUAGCACUAAUCUUUUAGUCUAUUAUUUAUCCUCAAAAUAUUUGUCUAAACAAUCUACAGUCUAAACCGUUGAUAAAAAAACAGUGAUCUAACUAGUGAUGUAUUAAAAUCCAACAAUAACUAAUUUUUUUUUCUAUGGCAACUUUUAAGUUACAGGAUGAAAAUAAAGAUAAGAGUCGACAAAAUUUUGUACAUAUUUUACAACGUUUGAUUAGUGAAGUUUCAAAAAUUGAAUCAAGUCCAAUCCGCUUAGAACCAAACGACGUCGUCCGUCAAAAUUUCGUUGAUCAACGCUCCAUAAAUUGUCUAAUAUAAUUUCCUAAAGGAUGAGGACUAUGCCUGUUGAGUCUAGUCUAAACCCCAGCUCAAAACAUUAAAAAAUUUGACAUUUUGCCCCUAAAAAGAGCAUGGAUGAUCGUAUUGGUGAAUUGCCAGAUGAUAUUUUGAUAAGUAUUUUAUCUCGCUUAACAAUUGAUGAGGCAGCAAGAGCCAACGUUUUAUCAUACAGAUGGCGAUAUUUAUGGAGAUCUUUCACUGGUUCUUUGGACUUUAUCAACCCCUACUAAAUUCGGCGCUUGGCAAUUUUUUCUGAUCCAUUACAAAUCUGAAGAUAAUUAUUUCAUUCCCGUGAAAAGGCGAAACUUUAUAAAUCUUGUUGAUGCAAUUUUGGGAUUACUUCAAACUAAAUAUUUACAAUAGUUAAGAAUUUGUUGCCCCCUUAAGUCUGAUUAUGAUGUUGAUAGUUGGAUUCAUCAAAGGCUUGAGUUAGACUUUAAUGAGUCAAAGAAAGGCGAUCAUGAGUUACAUACUUUUUCACCAUAUUCAGAUACUUCCAGCUUCAGUUCACUUAUGUCCCUGCGUUUAACCGAUGUUGAUAUACCUGAAGAGACUCUUCAUUAUUUGCUAUAUUACUGUCCGUUGCUUGGGGAGUUAAGGCCGAAGGUUACUGAGAGAUUGAUGCGUAUUAGAGUCUCUGGCCGAUCACUCUAUUUGAAGUGCUUGGAGGUUCAAUUUUUUAAUGCCAGUUAAGCUAGAACAAUCCAUGUUAGUUGAUCUACGCGCUUGUUGGUAGUUUUCUUCCACAAUUAAGUACACUGAAAGUAAACCCGAUGCCUGUUACUGUAAGUAGGUUCAAUUUUAUUCUUUUUAUUUUUACAUUACCCUCGUGCAUUAGCCAAUAUGGAGACUUCUAUGUAUUUCUAAAUUUCCUAAUCUGAAGCAUUUGGAAAUGACUUUGGCUACAGCUGAUCGAGAUUGCUAUCAUCUCCAUGUUGCUUUUUUGAAAGCAUCUCCUUUAUUUUAGGAAUUCACGUUGAAGGUGGAUGUUUCCCCUUCUUUUGAUUUGAAAUUUGAAAUAUUUGUUGUUUGAAUUGCUGAACAAUAAAAUUUCACUUUUGAUUCUGUGUGCACGUGUCUGGUUAAAUGGUUUCCCCAUAAGAGUGUUCCUAUUUCAUUUUCAAAUCGCAUAUUUAUGAUACGAAUGUGUUAAUCCCUUGUCUGCUGUUAUCCCAUGCAGUGGAACCUUGUAUAUACGUACAAAACAUCAAGGAUGAUCCUCAUUUAAAUCUUAGAGGAGUAUCAUUCAUUGGGUUUGAGGGGCGUGAGGUAGAUGUUGAGUUUCUGAAAGACUUGCUUGAGAAUGCUGUGAGGUAGGAGAAGAUGAUCCUUGUAAAUCACAUUUUACGGGAAGUCCAAUGUGUUGUGCGCGGAAUGCGGAAUUAAGCGCACCAAAUAAUUAUAGAACAAUAAUGGACACAAAAUUUAUGUGGUUCGGUAAUUAAACCUACAUUCAUGGGAGCAAGAGAAAAAUAAUCGUAUUAUUAACAAAUUUGAGUAAAGAAAUCUCACUUUUUCAGAACCCAAAUACACCUAGUAUUCUCACACACACUUUUCAAUUGCUCACACUCUCAGAACUCUUAAAAGCUUAUAAACUUAUAAGCUUAACAAUUUUGGGAUAAUUUAGAAUGAAGAAAUGGCUUCAAUUUAUAGGCUUUAAGCUUGCACUAUUCCACCUAAUCCCUCUGCAAUUUGUCAAUCUUCAUCUCGGUCAAUUUGACAAAUUUUGCUAACUUUUCUAUUUUUCUUCAUUUGGUGCAAGAUUGUCAAAUGCCAAAUAUUUUACAGUUUGCAAUUUGGUGCCGACUUUGAAAAACAAAAACAAUACAUGUGACUCACUUUUCUUUUUCAACCAAAACUCUUUGACUUUUCAACACAAUGGUGUGGUCUUACAAGAGAAGUAAGGGUUACAAGUGUGGUAGGAUGUGUGAAAUUGAGUCGGCAGCGAAAUUCCCUCAUCUAGAACUUAUGACGCCAGAAAUCCUUGUGCCAUUAACUGAUCUAUGCAAUGUGUUAUGCUAGAUACCGAGACAAAUACGAGAUGCUGUAAUUGAUGUCUGCGAAAUUGUUAUCAGAAAUAACUUCGAUCAAUUCUGUGAUUAAAAACACCAUGUUUGUGUACCCUAUAUUUUACUUUGUAAACCACCACACAAAGCAACCCAAAACCCGAGAGCUCCCCACUCAAACGAUGGCGACCUUAUCCACGUCAUCAUCGCCACCAGAACAUUGCUGGAAUCCUUGGCAACAACAUGAUGAAAGGCGCUGCUGCCUACAUAUGCAAGGAGCACCGGCUUAGCUAGCGAAGGGCUAACUUCGUGUAGAACCAUGUAUCUUUAGUUAAUUAGAUAUAAUUGUUUAACUUAAACAGUAUUAUACUAUUAUUUUAUUCUUAAUAUCACGUUCUUCCAAUUUUUUUUUUAAUAUUUUUAUUUGUAUGAAUACUUGUUUUCUGAAAAAACAAGCAAUAAUGGUGGGAAAAGUGCCGAAGUCCCAAAUAACGAAUUCUAACUAUGCCAUUAGUGUGUUAGCAGUUAUUUAAUCUUUUAAGUUUUUUAAUAGUAGGUUAUAAAACACCAUCGUAUUGCGAUGCAAUUUAGAAGCUUUAACUCGUAUUAACAUUAAUCAAGUAAGAGACUAAUAUUUUAAUUAAUUAAAUGCAAAUCACUUUCGCAUAUUAUUUUUUUAUUUUCCAAUAAUGUAAUAUUAGAGUAUAGAUUAUAGAGGCGUUUGACCUAGAAUUCGGUUGAGUGAUUUCAAGCAUUUUUAUUUAAUUAGUCACCCGUGUUUAAAUCUUGGAUGAGAUAGGAGGUUAUAAAUUGAUUAGAACUUUGUACACUCGUCAGUCUUUGCACUAGAACUUAGAAUGAAUUAGUUUGGCAUUAAUCUCAUAGUUAUCUAAUUGAAUUGUUUAACCAAAGCAUGUUAAUAGAUUUGAUUUUUAAGAAAAAAAAAAUUAAUGAAGUUAUUGUUCAUAAAAUGAUAAAAUGACAAAGGUAAUCCAAUUAAAGUAGUUUUUUCACCGAAGAUUUUACCAAAUUUUUACUGUUAAUCAUUUCUUUCAACUUCCAAAUGGAUGUUCCAAUAUAUCUUCUUGCUAUUUCUUCCCCGUUACUAGAUUUAAUAAGUGUUCAUGACGAAUUACCAGAGCGUCGGGAUAAUUACUUUUUGCUUCCCUUUUUCUGCUGCAAUAUGUCUUCAAUGAUCGUAACACCGAGCACUUUCAUGCUGUUGAUCAUGUCGUCGGAGAUCAUCAUAGCGUUGUCUCUUAUCAAGUCUACCAAUUAUAACCUCUUGAGACUGAUGUCGGUAAUUUGUGCAAAUGUGCUCAUUGUAGGUUUGUUCCCUUCGUUGGUAUGGUCACUUAGUUGAGCGAAGCUCCUCUAUGAGUUGUUGUACGAGCUAUCAUUUGUCGUUGAGAGCAUAUUCUAAUUGUUCUUGCCACUAAUGCAUGUCCUCAAGUUAGAGGAGCUAAUUCAUUUUCAACUUGAUCUCUGUCAUCCUUGGGAUUAUUGGUGCCAACAUCUUCAGAGGAUCUAGAGGAACAGUGCCAUUCAAGUCUUGAGUCACUAUUAUGAAGGAAAUGGCGGAGGCCAUAGGCAUUUUGUGUUUCAAGAAAUGAGGUUUUUUUUUUUCAACGUUCCCCAUAGACGGUGUCAACUGUUGACACCAAAAAUUCACAUCAUAUACUGUUCACAGCUUAAAUGUCUGUGCAAGUUCACAUGAUUCUGUUUGAUAAUAUGCACAUCAAAGACUCGACCAUUCUUAUGAAAAAGUCAAGGCAGCCGAAAAGAAGCCAUAAGAUUUAAUUAUCUAAUAAAUAAGACAAAAUUCAGGCAUAGAACUUCUAAGAAAAUUGACCCAUUUUGGUUUAGUACAUGAAUGAACUUCCCACCGGCCAGAUCAGGAUAUAGGUUAAGUGAGAGUCAAAUGAAGUUUAAAGAAACAGAAUUUAAUUAAAAGUCACCAUGAAAAGACUAAGGAACGCGCUUGCCUUUUUUUUUUUAAAAAAAAAAAAAAUCAACUUCCAUGUUUUUUUCUUUUUCUUUUUAUAAUUCUCAAGGGAGACAAGAAAGAUAUGGAAUCCUCAUUUUCUCUUUUGAGGGCUCGAGGAUAAUACUUACCAAUUCAAUCAAAUAUCUUUCAUUCUUUCGAUUAAUUAUCUUAUUUCUUGAUCAUUCUUAUUUCAUAUAGGUUCCAUUUAUUUAAGGCCCUGUUCACAGAAUAGCUCUUCCUUUUCAUUGUUCUAUAGCAGUUAGUUUUGGAACUAAGCGCAGAGUCCAGUGUUCUUGAUUCUUCAAGCCAUGUAUGCCUAUACCCUCUUUCAAUAUCUUUGUUUAGUCUAUGUGUUGGGGACUCACUGAACUCGAGAAAAAUAUUACCUAGACCAAAAACGAUAGUCUCCAGUUUUGACUAACUCAGCUCUGCUCUUUUUCGGUAGAAAAAAUGGAGAAGCUUGUUGUGUGGUAAACAUAUUACUAAUGCCAAUGUGUCAUCACAGAACAGUUUUAGUGUAAGGAAUAAUCAUACAACAGUUGCCAGAUACAAACAACAUUAUUCUUCUUUUAAGGGGAUGAUAAAGUGCUAGAAUAUUAAGAUUACUUAUCUUUGACAUCCAGUAUAAGAAACGGAGACUUGUCCAUUUCUUGGACAAUCAUACAACAGUUGCCAGAUACAAACAACAUUAUUCUUCUUUUAAGGGGGAUGAUAAAGUGCUAGAAUAUUAAGAUUACUUAUCUUUGACAUCCAGUAGAAGAAAUGGAGACUUGUCCAGAUUCUGGCUUGUCCCCUCAACACUGCAUACUUGAAUAAUGAACUUGAGAGUAUCAGUGUUUGAAGGAAUGAUGAGGUUAGAAAUGUAAAAUGAUUCAACUCGUGCCACCCCAAGAUACUCUUGUGUUGACUCUACCCUUCCAUCCAGACUUCCGACUGCCUGUUUUGCUGGUUUCCCAAGAUAGAUAUUAUAUUGGGGGAAUACAGAAUCAUUCC